AGCAGAAGAGGAGGUGCAGUCGCUGCGGUGUGCCGUGAUCAUACUGGGACGUACCUUGGUUCAUCCGCAGUGGUGUUCAUUGGAGUCAGAGAUCCAACAAUUCUCAAAACUUAUGCUUGCAGGGAAGCCAUGGCUUUGGCGGAUGAUCUCCUAGAAUGGAGAAUAAAAGUGGCUUCGGAUUGCUUGGGAGUGGUGAACGACGUCAACAAGGGCACGGGAGGAGCACAUGCUGCCAUUGUUCAUGAAAUGUCAAAUCAUUGUAAUAGUUUUGAUUUAUGUUCUUUUGUUCAUGAGACUAGAAACCACAAUUUCGAGGCUCAUAACCUCGCCAAAUUUGCAUGUAAUCUGAAUGUAGGUAGGCACGUAUGGCUGGGUAAUCCCCAUGACCCAGCACGUGUGCCUAUGAACAUCCUUGAAUAA
Molecule: ribosomal RNA, 420 nt
Filed under: Triticum aestivum (bread wheat)
Lineage: Eukaryota; Viridiplantae; Streptophyta; Magnoliopsida; Poales; Poaceae
Description: partial small subunit ribosomal RNA
Source: RNAcentral